AACGAACGCUGGCGGCGCGCCUAAUACAUGCAAGUCGAGCGAGAAGACGUAGCAAUACGUUUGUAAAGCGGCGAACGGGUGAGGAAUACAUGGGUAACCUACCCUCGAGUGGGGAAUAACUAGCCGAAAGGUUAGCUAAUACCGCGUACGCUCCUUGGACUUCGGUUCAGGGAGGAAAGCGAUACCGUGGGUAUCGCGCUCAUGGAUGGGCUCAUGUCCUAUCAGCUUGUUGGUGAGGUAACGGCUCACCAAGGCUUCGACGGGUAGCUGGUCUGAGAGGACGAUCAGCCACACUGGCACUGCGACACGGGCCAGACUCCUACGGGAGGCAGCAGUAAGGAAUAUUGCGCAAUGGGCGAAAGCCUGACGCAGCGACGCCGCGUGGGGGAUGACGGCCU
RNAcentral lists this ribosomal RNA (398 nucleotides) under uncultured bacterium. RNAcentral describes it as "bacterial SSU rRNA". It matches the Rfam family "Bacterial small subunit ribosomal RNA", at positions 29 to 417 of the family's 1533-position model. The record is from RNAcentral.